GGGACACGUGGUAUCCUGUCUGAAUAUGGGGGGACCAUCCUCCAAGGCUAAAUACUCCUGACUGACCGAUAGUGAACCAGUACCGUGAGGGAAAGGCGAAAAGAACCCCGGCGAGGGGAGUGAAAAAGAACCUGAAACCGUGUACGUACAAGCAGUGGGAGCACGCUUAGGCGUGUGACUGCGUACCUUUUGUAUAAUGGGUCAGCGACUUAUAUUCUGUAGCAAGGUUAACCGAAUAGGGGAGCCGAAGGGAAACCGAGUCUUAACUGGGCGUUAAGUUGCAGGGUAUAGACCCGAAACCCGGUGAUCUAGCCAUGGGCAGGUUGAAGGUUGGGUAACACUAACUGGAGGACCGAACCGACUAAUGUUGAAAAAUUAGCGGAUGACUUGUGGCUGGGGGUGAAAGGCCAAUCAAACCGGGAGAUAGCUGGUUCUCCCCGAAAGCUAUUUAGGUAGCGCCUCGUGAAUUCAUCUCCGGGGGUAGAGCACUGUUUCGGCAAGGGGGUCAUCCCGACUUACCAACCCGAUGCAAACUGCGAAUACCGGAGAAUGUUAUCACGGGAGACACACGGCGGGUGCUAACGUCCGUCGUGAAGAGGGAAACAACCCAGACCGCCAGCUAAGGUCCCAAAGUCAUGGUUAAGUGGGAAACGAUGUGGGAAGGCCCAGACAGCCAGGAUGUUGGCUUAGAAGCAGCCAUCAUUUAAAGAAAGCGUAAUAGCUCACUGGUCGAGUCGGCCUGCGCGGAAGAUGUAACGGGGCUAAACCAUGCACCGAAGCUGCGGCAGCGACACUAUGUGUUGUUGGGUAGGGGAGCGUUCUGUAAGCCUGUGAAGGUGUACUGUGAGGUAUGCUGGAGGUAUCAGAAGUGCGAAUGCUGACAUAAGUAACGAUAAAGCGGGUGAAAAGCCCGCUCGCCGGAAGACCAAGGGUUCCUGUCCAACGUUAAUCGGGGCAGGGUGAGUCGACCCCUAAGGCGAGGCCGAAAGGCGUAGUCGAUGGGAAACAGGUUAAUAUUCCUGUACUUGGUGUUACUGCGAAGGGGGGACGGAGAAGGCUAUGUUGGCCGGGCGACGGUUGUCCCGGUUUAAGCGUGUAGG
This 1100-nucleotide ribosomal RNA is filed under the name Escherichia coli. RNAcentral describes it as "partial 23S ribosomal RNA". It matches the Rfam family "Bacterial large subunit ribosomal RNA", at positions 419 to 1524 of the family's 2925-position model. Lineage: Bacteria; Pseudomonadati; Pseudomonadota; Gammaproteobacteria; Enterobacterales; Enterobacteriaceae. The record is from RNAcentral.